RNAcentral lists this ribosomal RNA (270 nucleotides) under Idiomarina sp. H105. Its description in RNAcentral is "partial 23S ribosomal RNA". It matches the Rfam family "Bacterial large subunit ribosomal RNA", at positions 2677 to 2925 of the family's 2925-position model. RNAcentral also lists the same sequence under 1 other name. Lineage: Bacteria; Pseudomonadati; Pseudomonadota; Gammaproteobacteria; Alteromonadales; Idiomarinaceae. The record is from RNAcentral.
CCUAGUACGAGAGGACCGGAGUGGACGACCCUCUGGUGUUCCGGUUGUCACGCCAGUGGCAUUGCCGGGUAGCUAUGGUCGGACGGGAUAACCGCUGAAAGCAUCUAAGCGGGAAGCCCCCUUCAAGAUGAGACAUCCCUGAGACCUCGAGUCUCCUAAAGGGCCCAGCGAGACCAGCUGGUUGAUAGGCACGGUGUGGAAGCGCUGCAAGGCGUUGAGCUAACGUGUACUAAUGGCCCGUGAGGCUUGACCCUAUAACACCCAAGGGGU